AAGCAUAUCAAUAAGCGGAGGAAAAGAAACUAACAAGGAUUCCCCUAGUAACUGCGAGUGAAGAGGGAAAAGCUCAAAUUUAAAAUCUGGCAGUCUUUGAUUGUCCGAGUUGUAAUUUAGAGAAGUGUUACCCGCGUUGGACCGUGUACAAGUUUCCUGGAAUGGAACGUCAUAGAGGGUGAGAAUCCCGUCUUUGACACGGAUCCCAAUUCAUUGUGGUACACUUUCGAAGAGUCGAGUUGUUUGGGAAUGCAGCUCUAAAUGGGUGGUAAAUUCCAUCUAAAGCUAAAUAUUGGGGAGAGACCGAUAGCGAACAAGUACCGUGAGGGAAAGAUGAAAAGAACUUUGGAAAGAGAGUUAAACAGUACGUGAAAUUGCUAAAAGGGAAACGCUUGAAGUCAGUCGCGUUGUCCGGGGAUCAGCCUUCCUUCUGGUUGGUGUACUUCCCGGUUGAUGGGUCAGCAUCAGUUUUGACCAGUGGAUAAAAGUGAGAGGAAUGUGGCAUCUUCGGGUGUGUUAUAGCCUCUUGUUGUAUACAUUGGUUGGGACUGAGGAAUUCAGCACGCCGCAAGGCCGGGUUUUUAACCACGUUCGUGCUUAGGAUGCUGGCAUAAUGGCUUUAAUCGACCCGUCUUGAAACACGGACCAAGGAGUCUAACAUGCCCUGCGAGUGGUUUGGGUGAAAAACCCGAGCCGGCGUAAUGAAAAGUGAAAGUUUAGGAUCCCCUGUCCGUGGGGGAGCACUUGACGCCCCUGUCCCAGAGCUUUUUGUUGACGGGUACCAGCGGUUUGAGCAAUGGUAUGUUUGGGGACCCCGAAAAGAUGGGUGAACUAUGCCCUGAAUAGGGGUGAAGCCCAGAGGGAAACUCUUGGUGGAAGGCUCGUAAGCCGAUUCUUGACGUGCAAAUCGGAUCGUCGAAUUUUGGGUAUAGGGGGCGAAAAGACUAAUCGAACCAUCUAGUAGCUGGGUUCCUGCCCGAAGUUUCCCUCAGGAUAGCAGAAACUCAUUGUCAGAUUUAUGUGGUAAAGCGAAUGAUUAGAGGCCUUGGGGUUGUAACAACCUUAACCUAUUC
This 1073-nucleotide ribosomal RNA is filed under the name Gymnopus sp. RNAcentral describes it as "partial large subunit ribosomal RNA". It matches the Rfam family "Eukaryotic large subunit ribosomal RNA", at positions 36 to 1057 of the family's 3401-position model. The record is from RNAcentral. Lineage: Eukaryota; Fungi; Basidiomycota; Agaricomycetes; Agaricales; Omphalotaceae.